Molecule: non-coding RNA, 228 nt
Filed under: Bacillus methanolicus
Lineage: Bacteria; Bacillati; Bacillota; Bacilli; Caryophanales; Bacillaceae
Description: T-box sequence
Rfam family: T-box leader
About the family: Uncharged tRNA acts as the effector for transcription antitermination of genes in the T-box leader family.
Source: RNAcentral
AUAUUGACGAUGACAGGGACAGUACAGUUUCCAUGCCUUGUUUCAGCGAACCGGGGGAGGUGGGAGCCCGGUAUAAGCGGAAAUUGGAAGAUCACCCUUGAGUUCCGAAUCGAACGCGCUGCCAGUAGAUUCAGGCGUUUCAUUCACGUUACGAAUGUCUGAGCGGACAGAAUUUUUCUUGUUCUGUCUACAAGGGUGGUACCGCGGGAAAACCUUCUCGUCCCUUAU